RNAcentral lists this unclassified non-coding RNA (200 nucleotides) under uncultured Hypocreales. RNAcentral describes it as "sequence contains ITS2". Lineage: Eukaryota; Fungi; Ascomycota; Sordariomycetes; Hypocreales. The record is from RNAcentral.
UUAAGUUCAGCGGGUAUUCCUACCUGAUCUGAGGUCAACCUUGGUAUAGUUGGGGGUUUUACGGCGUGACCGCACCGCUCUCCGCCUGCGAGGUGGUAUGUUACUACGCAGAGGAGGCUACGGCGUGGUCGCCACUAUGUUUCGGGGCCGGCCCGCUGUCAGACGGCAGGCCGAUCCCCAACACCGCAUCCAGCAAGAAG